UUACCCAUAUUGACUUUAAUUUCAAAAUACAAAAAGAACUAAAAAUCCCAUUAAAAUUUUUGGCCUCUUGUGCCCCUUUUACUUAAACUUUCGUUAACAGUAAUUCACCAACUUCUUUGAAAUUUUUACCACGAACUACAAGGUUUUGAUCCCUCCUUUUUUGUUGGUACGUAGGCGUAAGACCAAAGGUCUUGUCAAACACAAAUAUAAUCAAU
Molecule: long non-coding RNA, 215 nt
Filed under: Lathyrus oleraceus (garden pea)
Lineage: Eukaryota; Viridiplantae; Streptophyta; Magnoliopsida; Fabales; Fabaceae
Description: Pisum sativum (pea) long non-coding RNA (PSAT_LNC005796)
Source: RNAcentral